GAAAAGCAUAAUAGAGAAGCUGGUUAAAUGCCAGCACGGUCCCGCCACUGUAUGGUCGAGCGAGUCUAAAUUAAGUCACUGGGAAACUGGGAAGGCUAGAUGAGCGAUGACGCCGAGUCAGGAGAACUGCCUAUUCAA
This 138-nucleotide non-coding RNA is filed under the name Veillonella dispar. RNAcentral also lists the same sequence under 1 other name. The record is from RNAcentral. Lineage: Bacteria; Bacillati; Bacillota; Negativicutes; Veillonellales; Veillonellaceae.